Long non-coding RNA from Colias croceus (clouded yellow), 1086 nucleotides. RefSeq lists it as uncharacterized. NCBI's taxonomy places the organism in Eukaryota, Metazoa, Arthropoda, Insecta, Lepidoptera, Pieridae. The transcript has 2 exons. The record is from RefSeq and is a predicted model, not a curated record.
AAAAUUUACGAAAAUGGUCCAUUUUUGAGUUAACUUUAAACCACUAUAGAUUGAAAACUCAUGAAUAUAUUUUUUAAAUUAUUAUUUUAAAUAAUUAACAAUAGUCCAUUGUUUACGAUUCAAUAGUUCGUACAGUGAAAUAGUUGCAUGGGGGAGUGGGGGGGAGCAUUCAAAGAUGGCGAGUAUAUUUUCAAGUUUAUGCCAGAAAUAAAGGCCUAAUACAAAAAUAUCGGUGUCAGGGCUUGGAAUAAUUAUCUCUGCACUGUCGUUGUGUUUGACAGAAUGAAAAAUAUGGCAGAACAUUCUUGAAUCAGCCUCUUAACCCGUGUAGCGUCCUACGCACAGCGGUUGUAGCGUAACUCAAAUUGUACUGAGAGCGUCCUGCGCUGACAAACGCUGUGCGUAACGCGGCCCGUGAUAUUGAAGGUCAUCAGUAGAGACGUACAAGUGAAUGUUUCCAGUAUAAAAAAUAUUUCUCUAUGCCUUAAACAUUUAUAAUUCAAAUCGACACGACUCCGAGACAGGAAAUACAGACUAAAACCGUAGACAGAGUAACUAAUAGACCCAAUGACGAUACCUUUCUCACUUACACAAGAAAGAGAGCGAAAAUACCAUAACAAAUGCAUAAGACAAAGACACAAAUACCCAAUUUUUUGUCCCUUAGUGUGUAACCUGUUUUUCAAGAUCCGCAACUUGAGUUGCGAAACAAACUUUGACAGUUCGUGCCUUCAUCGUGCUUGGUGUUCGAAUUUUGGAUAUUAUUUAGUAAAAAAUCGAUACGAGUACAUUGAAAAGACGGUGAAAUUAUCUUAAUAUAGACAUCGAAGUAAAUAGAAUGGUGCGUUGUCGUGUUAUUGCAUGUAUAAGCGAUAGUGAGAAGAAAAUUGCCGGUGUGUCUUUUCACGCAUGAUCCAGACCUACGUAAUUAAUGGAUCGAAGUGGUAGAAAAGAUUGGAUUCUCACAAUAUAUUGUAAAAUAUGAACAAGCCAAUGAAAAAGUAAGAAAUGUGUUUCGUCAUCAAUAAUCAAUCUGCUUAUAUUUUUUGUAUCUACUAAAUUGAUUAUAAAGACAAAAGAAAAAUCUCA